CCCAAGGCCCUCUUUAGGGCCACAAUUGUAACAUAUACGAAUCUC
This is a non-coding RNA of Heligmosomoides polygyrus, 45 nucleotides long. NCBI's taxonomy places the organism in Eukaryota, Metazoa, Nematoda, Chromadorea, Rhabditida, Heligmosomidae. The record is from Rfam.